UACGUAUGGAGCAAGCGUUAUCCGGAUUUACUGGGUGUAAAGGGUGCGUAGGUGGCAGUGCAAGUCAGAUGUGAAAGGCCGGGGCUCAACCCCGGAGCUGCAUUUGAAACUGCAUAGCUGGAGUACAGGAGAGGCAGGCGGAAUUCCUAGUGUAGCGGUGAAAUGCGUAGAUAUUAGGAGGAACACCAGUGGCGAAGGCGGCCUGCUGGACUGUUACUGACACUGAGGCACGAAAGCGUGGGGAGCGAACAGG
This 253-nucleotide ribosomal RNA is filed under the name Anaerobutyricum hallii. RNAcentral's name for it is "partial 16S ribosomal RNA". It matches the Rfam family "Bacterial small subunit ribosomal RNA", at positions 524 to 776 of the family's 1533-position model. Lineage: Bacteria; Bacillati; Bacillota; Clostridia; Lachnospirales; Lachnospiraceae. The record is from RNAcentral.